Long non-coding RNA from Equus quagga, 553 nucleotides. RefSeq lists it as uncharacterized. The record is from RefSeq and is a predicted model, not a curated record. Lineage: Eukaryota; Metazoa; Chordata; Mammalia; Perissodactyla; Equidae. The transcript is spliced from 3 exons.
CAUGCUUUACAUCUCUCCUACCUUUUUAUUCCAUGGCAUCCCUCUUACUGAACCCAGCUGCAGAAAUUUCUUUGAAUUUAAGGCCUUGAGGGAUUAGAUUGAACCUGGUUGGGCAAUCCAGGAAUUUCUAAAAUUCCACUGAUUAGCAACCUUAGUUUCAUCUUCAAAGUCCCUUCUUCCAUUUAACACAGGAUCCGUGGAUUAAGGUGUAGACAUCUUUGGGGAGUGAUUCUCUGAACUUCAACAAAUGGUAUAAUGGCUAAUGACAUGGACGUUGGAGACAGAUGACGUGCACGUCUUGCUUGUACUCCAGAAGCUGCCACUCAAGUUAUAUGCAACACUGUGAAGAACAUCUUGGAACUGAAAUUACUGGAUCUUUAUGAUUUUUCCAGUUUAAUAAAUCUUUGCUGACUCAAAGGUUAUGAAAAUUCUCUGUUUCCCUCUGCAAGCAUGAUUUCUAGAUCAUUGAAAUUAUACGCCUGACUUGCAUUAUAUGUCUAUUGGACAUGGCUGCCUUACAGCAUCCACUAAAAAUAUAAAACAAAGAGGCAUA